CCAAGUUUACAACUCCCAAACCCCUGUGAACAUACCAAUUGUUGCCUCGGCGGAUCAGCCCGCUCCCGGUAAAACGGGACGGCCCGCCAGAGGACCCCUAAGCUCUGUUUCUAUAUGUAACUUCUGAGUAAAACCAUAAAUAAAUCA
Molecule: unclassified non-coding RNA, 147 nt
Filed under: soil metagenome
Description: partial internal transcribed spacer 1
Source: RNAcentral